Molecule: regulatory RNA element, 362 nt
Organism: Bacillus coahuilensis p1.1.43
Lineage: Bacteria; Bacillati; Bacillota; Bacilli; Caryophanales; Bacillaceae
Rfam family: cspA thermoregulator
Source: Rfam
UAAUUAUUGUUGUUCAAGCGAUUCAUGCAAGAAGAAAUAUAUCUUCGUCAAAAUGAGUAUGUUGAGAGCAAGAAUAGUAAUAUUUUUACGUGAACAGAUGUUCACACAGGAGGAAAAACAAUGCUACAAGGUAAAGUAAAAUGGUUCAACGCAGAAAAAGGUUUCGGUUUCAUCGAAGUUGAAGGUCAAGACGAUGUAUUCGUUCACUUCUCAGCUAUUCAAGGCGAAGGUUUCAAAUCUUUAGAAGAAGGUCAAGAAGUUUCUUUCGAAAUCGUUGAAGGUAACCGUGGACCUCAAGCUGCUAACGUUACUAAAUAAUAUAACCAAUUAAAGAAGACUCCUUUUUUAGGAGUCUUUUUAUU